RNAcentral lists this long non-coding RNA (628 nucleotides) under Monodelphis domestica (gray short-tailed opossum). RNAcentral's name for it is "lncRNA (ENSMODG00000032891.2)". The record is from RNAcentral. Lineage: Eukaryota; Metazoa; Chordata; Mammalia; Didelphimorphia; Didelphidae.
CAAUUUGUUUUUAAUACUCAUGUUUUGUCCUCUAUUUAAAAAUCUGGUUCUGGUCUCUUUCCUGUCCCAGGAUUCGGUGAAUUCCUGUGCGGUUAUGGUGGUCCAGAGCUAAGAAGAAACUCCUGUGCUAAGACAGGCUAUGCUGGGCAAGACUGCUGCAUCACUAACAGCCAAAAAAGCAAUAAAAAAAGAAAAAGAAGACAAUCAAGCUUUCUAACUAUGGAGGAAAUUCUUGAACCACAAAGUCAGGCUUUUUCUGUAUGGAUAUAGGACUCAAGUUCAUCUCCCUAAUCUUCAGGUCUCUUAUGUGUGGAAACAAGGUUGUUCUUGCAGUGCCAUGGAAUUGCAUAUCGCAAAAGAAGAAGCUGGAUCAAAGCCAAUUUUCAAUUUAUGUAAUCUGCUUUCAAGGCAAAACCCAGAGUCAUUUAAAGCACUAUUCAGUUUCCCUAAAGCCAUCUAGUCUGUCCUUUUCUGGGUCUAUUUCAUUGUCCAUCUAGAGGGUUUGCCUCAAAUAGACAUCAGUCCUUGUGCUUUCUCCUUUACAGGACUUUUGAGAGGAGUGUUGAGUUAAUUAUAAAGCAUGACAAAUAUUAAUAAAUAAUAUUGUUAAUUAUAUUAUUAUUACCUU